This 450-nucleotide ribosomal RNA is filed under the name uncultured bacterium. RNAcentral describes it as "partial 16S ribosomal RNA". It matches the Rfam family "Bacterial small subunit ribosomal RNA", at positions 354 to 796 of the family's 1533-position model. The record is from RNAcentral.
GUGGGGAAUUUUGGACAAUGGGUGCAAGCCUGAUCCAGCAAUGCCGCGUGCAGGAAGAAGGCCUUCGGGUUGUAAACUGCUUUUGUACGGAACGAAACGGUCCUGGCUAAUAUCCGGGGCUAAUGACGGUACCGUAAGAAUAAGCACCGGCUAACUACGUGCCAGCAGCCGCGGUAAUACGUAGGGUGCGAGCGUUAAUCGGAAUUACUGGGCGUAAAGCGUGCGCAGGCGGUGCUGUAAGACAGGCGUGAAAUCCCCGGGCUCAACCUGGGAAUUGCGCUUGUGACUGCAGUGCUGGAGUGCGGCAGAGGGGGAUGGAAUUCCGCGUGUAGCAGUGAAAUGCGUAGAUAUGCGGAGGAACACCGAUGGCGAAGGCAAUCCCCUGGGCCUGCACUGACGCUCAUGCACGAAAGCGUGGGGAGCAAACAGGAUUAGAUACCCUGGUAGUCC